CCUCCCAGAAGAAGUUCCUCUUGUCAUGACUCAUAACACUCUCACAACACAUAACUACAGCUCAGAAAGCUGUGAGAAAACACUCUAAGCAAUCAUCCUCAUCCACGUUUCAAAUGGAGAAAUCACUCAUGGUCAUCAUUCUUAUACUGGCUACAGGUACUUCUGCACAAGAUAAAAUUGGUCCAAAAGAAGACGUGUUAGUAAAUAAAAAGGAGACAGAGUCAGUGACUCUACAGUGUGAAUAUGGCAACAAUGUGCGCCUUUACUGGUACAGGCAGUAUCCUAACAUGGCACCACAGUAUCUACUCUACAGAGGAGCUCGCUCAGUAAGUUCCUCUAAUGAACCUGAUCGUCGUUUUACUUCCAAAACAUCCCAGUCUUCCACUGAUCUCAAUAUUGAAGAUCUGACUCUGGCAGACACAGCUCUCUACUACUGUGCUCUGAGGCAAGGGUAG
Alosa sapidissima (American shad) is the source of this 455-nucleotide non-coding RNA. The record is from the annotation of a RefSeq genome assembly. NCBI's taxonomy places the organism in Eukaryota, Metazoa, Chordata, Actinopteri, Clupeiformes, Clupeidae.